GAUGAAGAACGCAGCGAAAUGCGAUAAGCAAUGUGAAUUGCAGAAUUCAGUGAAUCAUCGAAUCUUUGAACGCACAUUGCGCCCGCCAGCAUUCUGGCGGGCAUGCCUGUUCGAGCGUCAUUUCAACCCUCGAGCCCCCCCGGGGGCCUCGGUGUUGGGGGACGGCACACCAGCCGCCCCCGAAAUGCAGUGGCGACCCCGCCGCAGCCUCCCCUGCGUAGUAGCACACACCUCGCACCGGAGCGCGGAGGCGGUCACGCCGUAAAACGCCCAACUUUCUUAGAGUUGACCUCGGAUCAGGUAGGAAUACCCGCUGAACUUAAGCAUAUCAAUAAGCGGAGGA
Molecule: unclassified non-coding RNA, 343 nt
Filed under: soil metagenome
Description: partial contains 5.8S ribosomal RNA, internal transcribed spacer 2, and large subunit ribosomal RNA
Rfam family: 5.8S ribosomal RNA (bases 1-120)
Source: RNAcentral